CGUUAGCUACAGGCUUAACACAUGCAAGUCGAGGGGCAGCAUGGUCUUAGCUUGCUAAGGCCGAUGGCGACCGGCGCACGGGUGAGUAACACGUAUCCAACCUGCCGUCUACUCUUGGACAGCCUUCUGAAAGGAAGAUUAAUACAAGAUGGCAUCAUGAGUCCGCAUGUUCACAUGAUUAAAGGUAUUCCGGUAGACGAUGGGGAUGCGUUCCAUUAGAUAGUAGGCGGGGUAACGGCCCACCUAGUCUUCGAUGGAUAGGGGUUCUGAGAGGAAGGUCCCCCACAUUGGAACUGAGACACGGUCCAAACUCCUACGGGAGGCAGCAGUGAGGAAUAUUGGUCAAUGGGCGAGAGCCUGAACCAGCCAAGUAGCGUGAAGGAUGACUGCCCUAUGGGUUGUAAACUUCUUUUAUAAAGGAAUAAAGUCGGGUAUGCAUACCCGUUUGCAUGUACUUUAUGAAUAAGGAUCGGCUAACUCCGUGCCAGCAGCCGCGGUAAUACGGAGGAUCCGAGCGUUAUCCGGAUUUAUUGGGUUUAAAGGGAGCGUAGAUGGAUGUUUAAGUCAGUUGUGAAAGUUUGCGGCUCAACCGUAAAAUUGCAGUUGAUACUGGAUAUCUUGAGUGCAGUUGAGGCAGGCGGAAUUCGUGGUGUAGCGGUGAAAUGCUUAGAUAUCACGAAGAACUCCGAUUGCGAAGGCAGCCUGCUAAGCUGCAACUGACAUUGAGGCUCGAAAGUGUGGGUAUCAAACAGGAUUAGAUACCCUGGUAGUCCACACGGUAAACGAUGAAUACUCGCUGUUUGCGAUAUACAGCAAGCGGCCAAGCGAAAGCGUUAAGUAUUCCACCUGGGGAGUACGCCGGCAACGGUGAAACUCAAAGGAAUUGACGGGGGCCCGCACAAGCGGAGGAACAUGUGGUUUAAUUCGAUGAUACGCGAGGAACCUUACCCGGGCUUAAAUUGCAGAUGAAUUACGGUGAAAGCCGUAAGCCGUAAGGCAUCUGUGAAGGUGCUGCAUGGUUGUCGUCAGCUCGUGCCGUGAGGUGUCGGCUUAAGUGCCAUAACGAGCGCAACCCUUGUUGUCAGUUACUAACAGGUUCCGCUGAGGACUCUGACAAGACUGCCAUCGUAAGAUGUGAGGAAGGUGGGGAUGACGUCAAACCAGCACGGCCCUUACGUCCGGGGCUACACACGUGUUACAAUGGGGGGGUACAGAGGGCCGCUACCACGCGAGUGGAUGCCAAUCCCAAAAACCUCUCUCAGUUCGGACUGGAGUCUGCAACCCGACUCCACGAAGCUGGAUUCGCUAGUAAUCGCGCAUCAGCCACGGCGCGGUGAAUACGUUCCCGGGCCUUGUACACACCGCCCGUCAAGCCAUGGGAGCCGGGGGUACCUGAAGUGCGUAACCAAGAGGAGCGCCCUAGGGUAAAACUGGUGACUG
This 1440-nucleotide ribosomal RNA is filed under the name uncultured organism. RNAcentral's name for it is "SSU rRNA". It matches the Rfam family "Bacterial small subunit ribosomal RNA". The record is from RNAcentral.